This 271-nucleotide ribosomal RNA is filed under the name uncultured archaeon. RNAcentral's name for it is "partial 16S ribosomal RNA". It matches the Rfam family "Archaeal small subunit ribosomal RNA", at positions 477 to 747 of the family's 1478-position model. The record is from RNAcentral.
CAGCGCCACGAGUGGGGACCACAUUUAUUUGGCCUAAAGCGUCCGUAGCUGGAUUAGUAAAUCUUUUGUGAAAUCGAGGAGCUCAACUUCUCGGCGUGCAGGAGACACUGCUUAUCUAGAGACCGGGAGGGGUAUGGAGUAUUCUGAGGGGACCGGUAAAAUGGGAUAAUCCUUGGAAGACUACCUGUGGCGAAGGCGCCAUACCAGAACGGAUCUGACGGUGAGGGACGAAAGCUAGGGGAGCGAACCGGAUUAGAUACCCGAGUAGUCC